UACAGGGGGGGCAAGCGUUGUUCGGAAUUACUGGGCGUAAAGGGUUUGUAGGUGGCCACUUAAGUCAGACGUGAAAUCCUUCAGCUUAACUGGGGAACUGCGUCUGAUACUGCGUGGCUUGAGUGCAGGAGAGGAACGCGGAAUUCCAGGUGUAGCGGUGAAAUGCGUAGAUAUCUGGAGGAACACCGGUGGCGAAGGCGGCGUUCUGGACUGUAACUGACACUGAAAAACGAAAGCCAGGGGAGCAAACGGG
RNAcentral lists this ribosomal RNA (253 nucleotides) under uncultured bacterium. Its description in RNAcentral is "partial 16S ribosomal RNA". It matches the Rfam family "Bacterial small subunit ribosomal RNA", at positions 524 to 776 of the family's 1533-position model. The record is from RNAcentral.